Molecule: ribosomal RNA, 468 nt
Filed under: uncultured bacterium
Lineage: Bacteria
Description: partial 16S ribosomal RNA
Rfam family: Bacterial small subunit ribosomal RNA
Source: RNAcentral
GACGAACGCUGGCGGCGUGCUUAACACAUGCAAGUCGAACGGAAAGGCCCUGCUUUUGUCGGGUGCUCGAGUGGCGAACGGGUGAGUAACACGUGAGUAACCUGCCCUUGACUUUGGGAUAACUUCAGGAAACUGGGGCUAAUACCGGAUAGGAGCUCCUGCUGCAUGGUGGGGGUUGGAAAGUUUCGGCGGUUGGGGAUGGACUCGCGGCUUAUCAGCUUGUUGGUGGGGUAGUGGCUUACCAAGGCUUUGACGGGUAGCCGGCCUGAGAGGGUGACCGGCCACAUGGGGCCUGCGAUACGGCCCAGACUCCUACGGGACGCAGCAGUCGGGAAUAUUGCACAAUGGGCGGGAGCCAGAUGCAGCAACGCCGCGUGCGGGAUGCCGGCCUUCGGGUUGUAAACCGAUUUCGCAUGUGACGAAGCGUGCGUGACGGUAAUGGGUAAAGAAGCACCGGCUAACUACGUG